RNAcentral lists this ribosomal RNA (833 nucleotides) under Reticulamoeba gemmipara. Its description in RNAcentral is "partial 18S small subunit ribosomal RNA". It matches the Rfam family "Eukaryotic small subunit ribosomal RNA", at positions 553 to 1284 of the family's 1831-position model. Lineage: Eukaryota; Cercozoa. The record is from RNAcentral.
GAGGGMAAGYCUGGUGCCAGCAGCCGCGGUAAUUCCAGCUCCAGUAGCGUAUAUUAAAGUUGUUGCAGUUAAAAAGCUCGUAGUUGGAUUUGUGGUGUCUUGUUUUUUUAUUUGCUUUUUUUGGUUUUUUGUUUUUCUCUUAUGAGAUGAAUUGAAAACCUGGAAGCGAGGACACCAUCCUUGACAGGUUUGAAAGUGAUAUUAUAUCACCGCAAACAUUGUCAUCCUUUACUUUGAAAAAAUUGGAGUGAUUCAAGCAGGCAAGAAUUAUAAUUUUAAUUUAACUUUGCUUCUGCACAUGUUAGCAUGGAAUAAUGCAAGAGGACUUGGGUUUUCUCUUUCAUUGGUUUCAGGAAUCCGAGUAAUGAUUGAUAGGGACAGUUGGGGGUGCUCGUACUCGACGGCCAGAGGUGAAAUUCUUGGAUUCGUUGAAGACGAACAACUGCGAAAGCAUUCACCAAGGAUGUCUUCUUUAAUCAAGAACGAAAGUUGGGGGAUCGAAGAUGAUCAGAUACCGUCGUAGUCCCAACCAUAAACGAUGCCGACCAGGGAUCAGCGAGCGUUGACUUGGCGUUCUCGUUAUUUUCUUUUUUGAGAAUUCGUAGAUUUUGCCAACCUCAUUAAUUUGAAACGACCUCGUUGGCACCUUGCGAGAAAUCACCAGUCUUUGGGCUCCGGGGGGAGUAUGGUCGCAAGGCUGAAACUUAAAGGAAUUGACGGAAGGGCACAACCAGCAGUGGAGCCUGCGGCUUAAAUUGACUCAACACGGGGAAACUUACCAGGUCCAGACAUCAUAAGGAUUGACAGAUUGAAGHUCUUUCUUGAUUYKRUGG